GAAAGGUGGCGCAGAGCCAGCACAGAGUACGCUUUCAGUGACAACAUGUGGAUUUUCUUCAUGAUCUGACUUAAACUAUACUUCCAAGAUCCUUCACAGUCGGAUAAGUGCUGAUGGAAGGAUUGAAACUGAGUUAAAAGCUCUAGAAGCCACUGUAAUGAAUAAUGAGAAUGAGCCCCUGCUCUUGAUGCAGGUGAGGAACAGAAAUUCUUGAUUUCUUAAGCUGGGGACAGGCACAGGCUUGCCAUCGGUCCUGAAAGCCUGGGCAUUUGCUCAAGGGCGGAUGCUGAGCUGUGCGCAGGAUCCCAGCUUGUGCCGCACCUGCCUGCCCUGCGCCAGGGCCACCGCCAGGUUGGGUGGGAGCACCCGGCUGCUGGGGCACGUCCUGCAGGGAAGCAGGCUCCUGGGAGCACGUGGCCACUACGGGUCUCUUCCUUUGACCGGCUGCUCUGGUGGGGCCUACCAGGGAGGGUCCUGGUGGGGACCAGGGAGCAGAGAUAAAGACAGACGGGAGGAGUCAGGAUGAGCCCAUCAGGGG
This 538-nucleotide long non-coding RNA is filed under the name Marmota monax (woodchuck). The record is from RNAcentral. Lineage: Eukaryota; Metazoa; Chordata; Mammalia; Rodentia; Sciuridae.